GAAGUUAGCGGCGGACGGGUGAGUAACACGUGGGUAACCUACCUAUAAGACUGGGAUAACUUCGGGAAACCGGAGCUAAUACCGGAUAACAUUUAGAACCGCAUGGUUCUAAAGUGAAAGAUGGUUUUGCUAUCACUUAUAGAUGGACCCGCGCCGUAUUAGCUAGUUGGUAAGGUAACGGCUUACCAAGGCGACGAUACGUAGCCGACCUGAGAGGGUGAUCGGCCACACUGGAACUGAGACACGGUCCAGACUCCUACGGGAGGCAGCAGUAGGGAAUCUUCCGCAAUGGGCGAAAGCCUGACGGAGCAACGCCGCGUGAGUGAUGAAGGGUUUCGGCUCGUAAAACUCUGUUAUUAGGGAAGAACAAAUGUGUAAGUAACUGUGCACAUCUUGACGGUACCUAAUCAGAAAGCCACGGCUAACUACGUGCCAGCAGCCGCGGUAAUACGUAGGUGGCAAGCGUUAUCCGGAAUUAUUGGGCGUAAAGCGCGCGUAGGCGGUUUCUUAAGUCUGAUGUGAAAGCCCACGGCUCAACCGUGGAGGGUCAUUGGAAACUGGGAAACUUGAGUGCAGAAGAGGAAAGUGGAAUUCCAUGUGUAGCGGUGAAAUGCGCAGAGAUAUGGAGGAACACCAGUGGCGAAGGCGACUUUCUGGUCUGUAACUGACGCUGAUGUGCGAAAGCGUGGGGAUCAAACAGGAUUAGAUACCCUGGUAGUCCACGCCGUAAACGAUGAGUG
Molecule: ribosomal RNA, 740 nt
Filed under: Staphylococcus xylosus
Lineage: Bacteria; Bacillati; Bacillota; Bacilli; Caryophanales; Staphylococcaceae
Description: bacterial SSU rRNA
Rfam family: Bacterial small subunit ribosomal RNA
Source: RNAcentral